AAAAAAGUUUCCAAAAGAAAACACUUGAUCCCAGUAUCAGAGAUCAAAAUACUAUCUAUAGCGUCAUCUGAAUAAAAAAAUGCAAGCGGUUUUAGCUCAAGUGAACUGAUGUAUUUUUAAGCUACUAUAAUUUGCAUUCAGCUGGUACCUCCUCUGUGUGACUCAUUUCUAUCAUAAUUAAAUAAACUAGCAUGACAAGACUACUGAUUCUCUCAUAGGGUUGUCCAAGACACGUGGCUCAGCUCUCCUGCCCCUGAGUACACAAUGUCUCCAUUCUUGACAACACAAUUCCCUCCGGAGGCAAAAGCCCAGAUGUUAAAUUCGUCCCACAGAUGGCAAAAGUAUGAGGAAAGGAGCAUAGGAAAGGGUUAGCAUGAGGAUAUAGUCAAUUUCUUUAUACAGCUUAAUAGAGGCUCAGAAUGCAAAUGAGUCACCUUAAGGUGGUAAUCAGAGUGAGGAUGUCUAAGAUUGGAUUGAUACAAAUGGUACCUCAGAUGACUAUGCAUCAUCUAAGGUAAAUGGCAUAAACUAUUAGAGAAUUAGAGAAUCACAGGUAAGAAAAAAGCCAUUCCAAAUUAUGUUGUACUUUACUACCUUAAUGUUCAGC
RNAcentral lists this long non-coding RNA (607 nucleotides) under Chinchilla lanigera (long-tailed chinchilla). RNAcentral's name for it is "lncRNA (ENSCLAG00000022694.1)". Lineage: Eukaryota; Metazoa; Chordata; Mammalia; Rodentia; Chinchillidae. The record is from RNAcentral.